AAGUCGUAACAAGGUUUCCGUAGGUGAACCUGCGGAAGGAUCAUUAGUGAAUUUUAGGGUGCCCUCUCGCUAUUCUCUCUUUAACUGGAGUUGGCGUCAGAGGGGCCUGACCUCCACUUUCUACCCUGUGCACUAUUUCUAAAGGUCGAAUUCGAGAAAUGAGCCUUUACGGGCUCGGCUCUUGUCUUCGCCUUUUCAAUUUUAUAAACACAAAGUCAAAGAAUGUAUUAAAAUCAUAACAAAAAAAACUUUCAACAACGGAUCUCUUGGCUCUC
This 275-nucleotide unclassified non-coding RNA is filed under the name Chrysozyma griseoflava. Its description in RNAcentral is "partial internal transcribed spacer region". The stretch from base 1 to 46 matches the Rfam family "Eukaryotic small subunit ribosomal RNA", at positions 1786 to 1831 of the family's 1831-position model. The record is from RNAcentral. Lineage: Eukaryota; Fungi; Basidiomycota; Microbotryomycetes; Chrysozymaceae.